AUGGGAACGCGAAGAACCUUACCUACUCUUGACAUCCAGAGAACUUAGCAGAGAUGCUUUGGUGCCUUCGGGAACUCUGAGACAGGUGCCGCAUGGCUGUCGUCAGCUCGUGUUGUGAAAUGUUGGGUUAAGUCCCGCAACGAGCGCAACCCUUAUCCUUUGUUGCCAGCGAUUCGGUCGGGAACUCAAAGGAGACUGCCAGUGAUAAACUGGAGGAAGGUGGGGAUGACGUCAAGUCAUCAUGGCCCUUACGAGUAGGGCUACACACGUGCUACAAUGGCAUAUACAAAGAGAAGCGACCUCGNCGAGAGCAAGCGGACCUCAUAAAGUAUGUCGUAGUCCGGAUUGGAGUCUGCAACUCGACUCCAUGAAGUCGGAAUCGCUAGUAAUCGUAGAUCAGAAUGCUACGGUGAAUACGUUCCCGGGUCUUGUACACACCG
This 440-nucleotide ribosomal RNA is filed under the name uncultured bacterium. RNAcentral's name for it is "bacterial SSU rRNA". It matches the Rfam family "Bacterial small subunit ribosomal RNA", at positions 954 to 1392 of the family's 1533-position model. The record is from RNAcentral.